GGCCCAUUAGUGUAGUGGUAAGCACAGUGCACUCUGAAUGCGCAGACCCGGGUUCGAGUCCCGGAUGAGCCA
Molecule: transfer RNA, 72 nt
Filed under: Intoshia linei
Lineage: Eukaryota; Metazoa; Orthonectida; Rhopaluridae
Rfam family: tRNA
About the family: Transfer RNA (tRNA) molecules are approximately 80 nucleotides in length. Their secondary structure includes four short double-helical elements and three loops (D, anti-codon, and T loops).
Source: Rfam by way of RNAcentral